Molecule: long non-coding RNA, 1395 nt
Filed under: Castor canadensis (American beaver)
Lineage: Eukaryota; Metazoa; Chordata; Mammalia; Rodentia; Castoridae
Description: lncRNA (ENSCCNG00000008988.1)
Source: RNAcentral
AUUUAAAAGGGCUUCAUGUAUACUUGGCAAGUACUCUACCACUGAGGUAUACAACAACCUCAAGAUCUAUAAAUUCUUACUAGAAUUUAAAAUUAUUUUGGUAGUAGUAGCAUUUAUUAGGAAAGGAAUUUAGUACAACAGGAUAAAAGUGGGGAGAAAUGGGAAAAAAGAGACUCCUACACAUGUUAACUGUAGAUAUGCACUGCUAAGUUUCCUCCUAAAGAACUGAUAUUAUUAUUAUUAUUAUUGUUAUUAUUUUGGUAGGAUUGGGGUUUGAACUCAGGGCUUCAUGCUUACAAAAUAGGCACUCUACUGCUUGUGCCACACCUCCAGUCCAUUUUGCUCUGGUUAUAUUGGAGAUGGGGGUUUCUCAAAACAUUUGCCCAGGCUGGCCUCGAACUGUGAUUCUCCUAAUCUCAGCCUCCCAAGUAGCUAGGAUUAUAGGGGUAAGCCACUGGUACCCAUCUGACAUUAUUUCCUAUGCUACUUGCAUUUUCCUUUGUGCAUUCUCUUUUAUUUUCUCCUCCAUAUUUUUUUGCCUGCUAUUUGUUAACUGUUCAAGAUCAGGGUUCCUUCUCUUUCUUCUGACUACAUAAUAAAAUAUUUUAGUUUUGUUUUAGAAAUGCAUUCUAUUGUUUUUUGAGGUGCUAUUUCCUGUAAAAAGUUACUUUCAGCCUUAUCACUUCCCUUGUUUACCAGAGUUUUAAGUUUUGAUGUUCUAUCAUCAUUUAUCAUAUUUUCCUUAACAAAAUGCUGCAGUGCAAAAUAUGAUCUUAUACUAGAUGAGCAGGCUGAUGACUCAAAAUCAAGUCACUCACAUACAAGUAAAAAGCACAAGAAAAAAACCCGCCACUGCUCAGAAGAAAAAGAAGAUGAGGACUACAUGCCAAUCAGAAAUACUAACCAGGAUAUCUACAGGGAAAUGGGGUUUGGUCACUAUGAAGAAGAAACUUGUUGGGAGAAACAAAAGAGUGAAAAGAGAGACCGGCCUCAGAAGCACAGUCGUAGCAGAUCUCGAGAGAGGGAUGGCCACUACAGUACUAGCCACAAACCCAGGUACCAGACAGAUUACGAAAGAGAACGGAGUAAGAAGAGGGACCGAAGCAGAAGCCCAAAGAAGCCCAGAGACAAAGAAAAGUCUAAGUACAGAUGAGAGGCGAGGAGCCGACCACAUGGCUGACAUGCCUACUCUGGCCUGACUCAGUGUGCCAGCAGAGAUGCUCACAUUUGUGUCCAAGCAGUUAAAGACUGUUAUUUUCUUUCUUUCAUACUAGAAUUAUGGCCCUUUUAGAUUAAUACUGGUAAUACAGGACACUGAAAGAUAAUUGAACAUUUCCAUGUGUACUUUUUUACACCAAUUGUAUUGUUGUAAAUAAAUGGUAGAAUUCAUUUUCA